This 80-nucleotide transfer RNA is filed under the name bioreactor metagenome. RNAcentral describes it as "tRNA-Asp". The record is from RNAcentral.
GGAGGGGGCGGACCGGUUCGAGGUCUUCGGGUAUGUCGAACCGGGCGACCGGGUGAGGGUGGAACGCCCUCCCCUUCUCC